GCUGGCGGCGUGCUUAACACAUGCAAGUCGAACGAACCUUCGGGUUAGUGGCGGACGGGUGAGUAACGCGUGGGAAUCUGCCCUCAGGAGGGGGAUAACGGUUGGAAACGACCGCUAAUACCCCAUAUGCCGAGAGGUGAAAUGAAUUUCGCCUGAGGAUGAGCCCGCGUCUGAUUAGCUUGUUGGUGAGGUAAUGGCUCACCAAGGCAUCGAUCAGUAGCUGGUCUGAGAGGAUGAUCAGCCACACUGGGACUGAGACACGGCCCAGACUCCUACGGGAGGCAGCAGUGGGGAAUUUUCCGCAAUGGGCGAAAGCCUGACGGAGCAACGCCGCGUGAGGGACGAAGGCCUCUGGGCUGUAAACCUCUUUUCUCAAGGAAGAAGAUAUGACGGUACUUGAGGAAUAAGCCACGGCUAAUUCCGUGCCAGCAGCCGCGGUAAUACGGGAGUGGCAAGCGUUAUCCGGAAUUAUUGGGCGUAAAGCGUCCGCAGGCGGCCUUUCAAGUCUGCUGUUAAAACGUGGAGCUCAACUCCAUCAUGGCAGUGGAAACUGAUUGGCUUGAGUAUGGUAGGGGCAGAGGGAAUUCCCGGUGUAGCGGUGAAAUGCGUAGAUAUCGGGAAGAACACCAGUGGCGAAGGCGCUCUGCUGGGCCAUUACUGACGCUCAUGGACGAAAGCCAGGGGAGCGAAAGGGAUUAGAUACCCCUGUAGUCCUGGCCGUAAACGAUGAACACUAGGUGUCGGGGGAAUCGACCCCUUCGGUGUCGUAGCUAACGCGUUAAGUGUUCCGCCUGGGGAG
This 799-nucleotide ribosomal RNA is filed under the name uncultured cyanobacterium. RNAcentral's name for it is "bacterial SSU rRNA". It matches the Rfam family "Bacterial small subunit ribosomal RNA", at positions 35 to 880 of the family's 1533-position model. Lineage: Bacteria; Bacillati; Cyanobacteriota. The record is from RNAcentral.